RNAcentral lists this ribosomal RNA (406 nucleotides) under uncultured bacterium. RNAcentral's name for it is "partial 16S ribosomal RNA". It matches the Rfam family "Bacterial small subunit ribosomal RNA", at positions 30 to 526 of the family's 1533-position model. The record is from RNAcentral.
AUUGAACGCUGGCGGCAGGCCUAACACAUGCAAGUCGAACGAGUGGCGGACGGGUGAGUAAUGUCUGGGAAACUGCCUGAUGGAGGGGGAUAACUACUGGAAACGGUCGCUAAUACCGCAUACCAUCAGCUGUGCCCAGAUGGGAUUAGCUAGUUGGUUGGGUAACGGCUCAACAAGGCGACGAUCCCUCGCUGGUCUUAGAGGAUGACCAGCCAUCCUGGAACAGAGACACGGUCCAGAGUCCUACGGGAGGCAGCAGUGGGGAAUAUUGCACAAUGGGCGCAGGCCGUAUGCAGCCAUGCCGCGUGUAUGAAGAAGUCUUUCGGGUUGUAAAGUACUUUCAGCGGGGAGGCGGUACCCGAAGAAGAAGCACCGGCUAACUCCGUGCCAGCAGCCGCGGUAAUAC